UACGUGGGGGGCAAGCGUUGUUCGGAAUUACUGGGCGUAAAGGGCGCGUAGGCGGAUUGGUAAGUUGGAUGUGAAAGCCCGGGGCUUAACCUCGGAAUUGCUUUCAAAACUGCCAGUCUUGAGUGAAGUAGGGGAUGAUGGAAUUCCUAGUGUAGAGGUGAAAUUCUUAGAUAUUAGGAGGAACACCGGUGGCGAAGGCGGUCAUCUGGGCUUCUACUGACGCUGAGGCGCGAAAGCGUGGGGAGCAAACAGG
This 253-nucleotide ribosomal RNA is filed under the name uncultured bacterium. RNAcentral's name for it is "partial 16S ribosomal RNA". It matches the Rfam family "Bacterial small subunit ribosomal RNA", at positions 524 to 776 of the family's 1533-position model. The record is from RNAcentral.